GCUCUCAAAGUGAGUCUGGAUGUGCUCGGUGGUGUCCCCCCCACCAAGCUGCCAGUGCAGAAGUCCGCUGUUGAACUCCUGAACACGACCCAGCUUGUCAGAUCGGAGAAGCACACGUAUGCACCCAGUCACG
Molecule: long non-coding RNA, 133 nt
Organism: Leopardus geoffroyi (Geoffroy's cat)
Lineage: Eukaryota; Metazoa; Chordata; Mammalia; Carnivora; Felidae
Exons: 3
Source: RefSeq, a predicted model, not a curated record